This 253-nucleotide ribosomal RNA is filed under the name uncultured bacterium. RNAcentral's name for it is "partial 16S ribosomal RNA". It matches the Rfam family "Bacterial small subunit ribosomal RNA", at positions 524 to 776 of the family's 1533-position model. The record is from RNAcentral.
UACGUAGGGCGCAAGUGUUGUCCGGAAUUAUUGGGCGUAAAGAGCUCGUAGGCGGCCUGUUGCGUCCGCUGUGAAAUCCCGGGGCUCAACCCCGGGCGUGCAGUGGAUACGGGCUGGCUGGAGGCAGGCAGGGGAGAACGGAAUUCCCGGUGUAGCGGUGAAAUGCGCAGAUAUCGGGAGAAACACCGGUGGCGAAGGCGGUUCUCUGGGCCUGUACUGACGCUGAGGAGCGAAAGCGUGGGGAGCGAACAGG